UGACAUCCACAGAACUUAGCAGAGAUGCUUUGGUGCCUUCGGGAACUGUGAGACAGGUGCUGCAUGGCUGUCGUCAGCUCGUGUUGUGAAAUGUUGGGUUAAGUCCCGCAACGAGCGCAACCCUUAUCCUUUGUUGCCAGCGGUCCGGCCGGGAACUCAAAGGAGACUGCCAGUGAUAAACUGGAGGAAGGUGGGGAUGACGUCAAGUCAUCAUGGCCCUUACGACCAGGGCUACACACGUGCUACAAUGGCAUAUACAAAGAGAAGCGACCUCGCGAGAGCAAGCGGACCUCAUAAAGUAUGUCGUAGUCCGGAUUGGAGUCUGCAACUCGACUCCAUGAAGUCGGAAUCGCUAGUAAUCGUAGAUCAGAAUGCUACGGUGAAUACGUUCCCGGGCCUUGUACACACCGCCCGUCACACCAUGGGAGUGGGUUGCAAAAGAAGUAGGUAGCUUAACCUUCGGGAGGGCGCUUACCACUUUGUGAUUCAUGACUGGGGUGAAGUCGUAACAAGGUAACCGUAGGGGAACCUGCGGUUGGAUCACCUCCUU
This 550-nucleotide ribosomal RNA is filed under the name Klebsiella pneumoniae. Its description in RNAcentral is "bacterial SSU rRNA". It matches the Rfam family "Bacterial small subunit ribosomal RNA", at positions 982 to 1532 of the family's 1533-position model. The record is from RNAcentral. Lineage: Bacteria; Pseudomonadati; Pseudomonadota; Gammaproteobacteria; Enterobacterales; Enterobacteriaceae.